This 1109-nucleotide ribosomal RNA is filed under the name uncultured bacterium (human infant) N108D. Its description in RNAcentral is "bacterial SSU rRNA". It matches the Rfam family "Bacterial small subunit ribosomal RNA", at positions 1 to 1122 of the family's 1533-position model. The record is from RNAcentral.
CGGGAUUGACGGAUCCAGAGUUUGAUUAUGGCUCAGGAUGAACGCUGGCGGCGUGCUUAACACAUGCAAGUCGAACGGGAUCCAUCAAGCUUGCUUGGUGGUGAGAGUGGCGAACGGGUGAGUAAUGCGUGACCGACCUGCCCCAUACACCGGAAUAGCUCCUGGAAACGGGUGGUAAUGCCGGAUGCUCCAGUUGAUCGCAUGGUCUUCUGGGAAAGCUUUCGCGGUAUGGGAUGGGGUCGCGUCCUAUCAGCUUGACGGCGGGGUAACGGCCCACCGUGGCUUCGACGGGUAGCCGGCCUGAGAGGGCGACCGGCCACAUUGGGACUGAGAUACGGCCCAGACUCCUACGGGAGGCAGCAGUGGGGAAUAUUGCACAAUGGGCGCAAGCUGAUGCAGCGACGCCGCGUGAGGGAUGGAGGCCUUCGGGUUGUAAACCUCUUUUAUCGGGGAGCAAGCGAGAGUGAGUUUACCCGUUGAAUAAGCACCGGCUAACUACGUGCCAGCAGCCGCGGUAAUACGUAGGGUGCAAGCGUUAUCCGGAAUUAUUGGGGCGUAAAGGGCUCGUAGGCGGUUCGUCGCGUCCGGUGUGAAAGUCCAUCGCUUAACGGUGGAUCCGCGCCGGGUACGGGCGGGCUUGAGUGCGGUAGGGGAGACUGGAAUUCCCGGUGUAACGGUGGAAUGUGUAGAUAUCGGGAAGAACACCAAUGGCGAAGGCAGGUCUCUGGGCCGUUACUGACGCUGAGGAGCGAAACKGAGGGAGCGAACAGGAUUAGAUACCCUGGUAGUCCACGCCGUAAACGGUGGAUGCUGGAUGUGGGGCCCGUUCCACGGGUUCCGUGUCGGAGCUAACGCGUUAAGCAUCCCGCCUGGGGAGUACGGCCGCAAGGUAAAAACUCAAAGAAAUUGACGGGGGCCCGCACAAGCGGCGGACAUGCGGAUUAAUUCGAUGCAAUGCGAGGACCUUACCUGGGCUUGACAUGUUCCCGACGGUCGUAAGAUACGGCUUCCCUUCGGGGCGGGUUCMMRGUGGUGCAUGGUCGUCSUCAGYCUGUCGUGAAWGUUGGGUUAAUCCGCACGAGSAACCUCGCCCGUGCAASGUWGCCGGA